This 237-nucleotide unclassified non-coding RNA is filed under the name rhizosphere metagenome. RNAcentral describes it as "partial ribosomal RNA internal transcribed spacer region". The record is from RNAcentral.
GUAGGUGAACCUGCGGAAGGAUCAUUAGUGAAUUUAGCGCAUCUGUUUACUCAGAGCGUGACCCCCCACUCUUAUAACAUUGUGCACUUAUUGGCGGAGGCAAAAGGAAUGACGAAGUAAUUUCGAUUACGGCGGCACAAUUUUCACUUCUGCGGCUCACUUAUAAACAUUAGUUAAAGUAUGUAACGAAAUAUCGAAAAACUAAAAAAACUUUCAACAACGGAUCUCUUGGCUCUC